GCGAAACGAGAUAAGUUCUAAUGAAUAGCACAAAAGCCCAACCUAUUGCGAGUAGGUCGGGCUU
Enterococcus sp. HSIEG1 is the source of this 64-nucleotide non-coding RNA. Lineage: Bacteria; Bacillati; Bacillota; Bacilli; Lactobacillales; Enterococcaceae. The record is from Rfam.